RNAcentral lists this ribosomal RNA (497 nucleotides) under uncultured bacterium. Its description in RNAcentral is "partial 16S ribosomal RNA". It matches the Rfam family "Bacterial small subunit ribosomal RNA", at positions 35 to 507 of the family's 1533-position model. The record is from RNAcentral.
GGGGGGGGGGGGGGGGGGGGGGGGGGGGGGCGGGGCGGGCGGGGGGGCGGGGGGCUGGCGUGUCUGGUGGUAGCGGCGGGCGGGGGGGUAACGCGUGGAUAGCCUACCUAUAAGACUGGGAUAACUUCGGGGAACCGGGGCUAAUACCGGAUAAUAUUUUGAACCGCAUGGUUCAAAAGUGACCGCCGGUCUUGCUGUCACUUAUAGAUGGAUCCGCGCUGCAUUAGCUAGUUGGUAAGGUAACGGCUUACCAAGGCAACGAUGCAUAGCCGACCUGAGAGGGUGAUCGGCCACACUGGAACUGAGACACGGUCCAGACUCCUACGGGAGGCAGCAGUAGGGAAUCUUCCGCAAUGGGCGAAAGCCUGACGGAGCAACGCCGCGUGAGUGAUGAAGGUCUUCGGAUCGUAAAACUCUGUUAUUAGGGAAGAACAUAUGUGUAAGUAACUGUGCACAUCUUGACGGUACCUAAUCAGAAAGCCACGGCUAACUACGUG